RNAcentral lists this ribosomal RNA (467 nucleotides) under uncultured bacterium. Its description in RNAcentral is "partial 16S ribosomal RNA". It matches the Rfam family "Bacterial small subunit ribosomal RNA", at positions 29 to 507 of the family's 1533-position model. The record is from RNAcentral.
ACGCACGCUGGCGGCGUGCUUCACACAUGCCAGUCGAACGGAAAGGCCCUGCUUUUGUGGGGUGCUCGAGUGGCGAACGGGUGAGUAACACGUGAGUAACCUGCCCUUGACUUUGGGAUAACUUCAGGAAACUGGGGCUAAUACCGGAUAGGAGCUCCUGCUGCAUGGUGGGGGUUGGAAAGUUUCGGCGGUUGGGGAUGGACUCGCGGCUUAUCAGCUUGUUGGUGGGGUAGUGGCUUACCAAGGCUUUGACGGGUAGCCGGCCUGAGAGGGUGACCGGCCACAUUGGGACUGAGAUACGGCCCAGACUCCUACGGGAGGCAGCAGUGGGAAAUAUUGCACAAUGGGCGGAAGCCUGAUGCAGCAACGCCGCGUGCGGGAUGACGGCCUUCGGGUUAUAAACCGCUUUCGCCUGUGACGAAGCGUGAGUGACGGUAAUGGGUAAAGAAGCACCGGCUAACUACGUG